GAUGAACGCUGGCGGCGUGCUUAACACAUGCAAGUCGAACGAGGUCCAUGGAGCUUGCUCCGGAAGACCUAGUGGCGAACGGGUGCGUAACACGUGAGAAACCUGCCCCGAUCUCUGGGAUAACAGUUGGAAACGACUGCUAAUACCGGAUGCCGUCACACCGCUUCAUGGCGGAGUGCCGAAAGAUUUAUCGGAUCGGGAGGGUCUCGCGGCCUAUCAGCUAGUUGGAGAGGUAACGGCUCACCAAGGCAUCGACGGGUAGCUGGUCUGAGAGGAUGAUCAGCCACACUGGGACUGAGACACGGCCCAGACUCCUACGGGUGGCAG
RNAcentral lists this ribosomal RNA (327 nucleotides) under uncultured Actinomycetes bacterium. RNAcentral's name for it is "bacterial SSU rRNA". It matches the Rfam family "Bacterial small subunit ribosomal RNA", at positions 28 to 351 of the family's 1533-position model. Lineage: Bacteria; Bacillati; Actinomycetota; Actinomycetes. The record is from RNAcentral.